This 496-nucleotide ribosomal RNA is filed under the name uncultured bacterium. RNAcentral's name for it is "partial 16S ribosomal RNA". It matches the Rfam family "Bacterial small subunit ribosomal RNA", at positions 29 to 507 of the family's 1533-position model. The record is from RNAcentral.
AUGAACGCUGGCGGCGUGCCUCAUACAUGCAAGUCGAGCGAACAGACGAGGAGCUUGCUCCUCUGACGUUAGCGGCUGACGGGUGAGUAACACGUGGAUAACCUACCUAUAAGACUGGGAUAACUUCGGGAAACCGGAGCUAAUACCGGAUAAUAUAUUGAACCGCAUGGUUCAAUAGUGAAAGACGGUUUUGCUGUCACUUAUAGAUGGAUCCGCGCCGCAUUAGCUAGUUGGUAAGGUAACGGCUUACCAAGGCAACGAUGCGUAGCCGACCUGAGAGGGUGAUCGGCCACACUGGAACUGAGACACGGUCCAGACUCCUACGGGAGGCAGCAGUAGGGAAUCUUCCGCAAUGGGCGAAAGCCUGACGGAGCAACGCCGCGUGAGUGAUGAAGGUCUUCGGAUCGUAAAACUCUGUUAUUAGGGAAGAACAAAUGUGUAAGUAACUAUACACGUCUUGACGGUACCUAAUCAGAAAGCCACGGCUAACUACGUG